Molecule: long non-coding RNA, 2306 nt
Organism: Betta splendens (Siamese fighting fish)
Lineage: Eukaryota; Metazoa; Chordata; Actinopteri; Anabantiformes; Osphronemidae
Exons: 3
Source: RefSeq, a predicted model, not a curated record
CCCAGUGAGAGAGUGAGUGCGUCGCUGAUUGCGAGCACGCAGCUUUUCUCCGCUCUCAGUCAGACAGAAGGAGAACAAACUGAGUCAAUCAGCUCCGUUUAUUUUCAGGACUCGGCGGUGACAGACACGAAGACAGGCAGCGCGCGUGCGCGCGCGCGACGGAGCUGCUCGAACAGCACAACUGGUGCCACAUGGAAAUAGUUAAGGGCACGAACGAGAUGGGGAAGGUGUUUAAAUUAGCACGAGAGAGAGAAGCAAAUGAGAUAACAUUCAGAAAGUGCUGGGAGAGAAGAACAUGAUCUCGUCCUUGAACUCCUUGCGCUCCUCCAGGGCGUCGUCGAUGCUGAGGAUGACGCUCUCGCUGGACUCGGGCCCGUACAGGAACUUGCAGGCGCAGCUCUUCUGCAUGACCUCCGCCCGCGAGAAGCCCGUGAGCUCGCAGAAGCCAUCGGAGCAGUAGACGAUGGGGAACCCCUUGGACACCUGAGCGUUGGCCAGGAUGAAGUUGCUGUCUGCGCGCGACGCGGGGAGAAAGGCCGUUUAGAAUAACUUCAACGAACUCAGGAAUGUCUUAUGCAGUUAAAAAAAUAAUGAGCUGUGAGUUCAGCCUAUUCCCAGCUCGUCUAAAGGAGAAGGAAACUCCAUGUUAAAGUUCCCCGAAGCCUGUUUAACAUAUCUUAAAGUGCGAAGACAGUGACACAAAGAAUAACAUUUAAUGUGUUUUCUAAUUCUAGUCAGGAAGUGAAGAUAGUAAAACUCCCCACAGACCACGCUGGCUUCUACUCUUCUUUAAUUUAUUCCUUCAAGUAUCCCUAUCAGGCCUGACACCAGCCUCCGGGCAGCAGCAGACCCACAACACUGCAAAUAUCAGGCAAAGCAAAGUAUAUAGUAAAUAUCAUUGAUUAACACUGGUAAUAGUCACAGUUACAAGGCUUUUACACUUGCCUUGAUGUCCUGAAUCCUACUUUAAAUAGUACAGCAGCACAAGCUGUGAGUGUAUAAUGUCCCAGCCUCUGUCUGGAGUUGUGUUUCUCUUACGGCCGCUUUAUUAGUUCUGCUUUGGUCUCCGCGCAUUUAGGAGAAUUAUGCUGCCCGUUGGCACCGGCGAUGCUGAUGAUCCAUAACGCGUACGCUCCCACCGCCAGCCUCAUUAGGUAGCGACGCAGAGACACGCGCUCGCUCUCAGCCAGCCGGCAUUAAAGGCACAUUUCACUUCACCAGGGCUUUUGGCUGCGAGACCACUCAGCUUCCACCACCCACUUUUCAAACGCCAGCACAUAGAAAUGGAAGCGGCUGGUCAAGGGGUCAGCGAGCGCUGAUGGGAUGCUCAGCUCAGGUGGAUGAAGGCCCAUGUGGGCUGUGAGGUGAACGUCAUUUACCUCAUAGAGGACUAAUUUACCGGGACCCUAAACAGCAAUAAAAUCCUACUCUCCAAUCACAUUGGAGAAGCUCACUUGAGAGUGAAGUGUGGUGAUAUUUUGGUAAAUGUGAGGAUGUUAGAGAAUAUCACUAUUAAUUAGCCUGUAGUUUAUAUGUGUAGUUCUUUGGCAGCUGCUUAUAUCUAAAUGUAUCCAUUAUAGCACACACACACACACACUGAGCUGUGCUGACAGACAGCUAAUGUUUACAGUGCAAUAGCCAUUAUCCAAGACAGCGGAGCAGUGAUUCUAUAAUGAGCUCGAACUAACAAUAAAAUGAGUAAGAAUUUCUCAAUUCACACAUUCAAUUCACAUUCGCUGUUACGUUAACGAAUGGCUCCCAGUUAAACAAAGCGUUUGUUUAAUCACAGAAAUUAAACGUCACCAACACACAGAAACACAAACCUCUGUAUAGGAGACGCCCUGCGAAGUGACUUGUUUCUAUUACGUUUCAUUACAAAAAUCAAUUUUCUGCAUCAAUAAUUCGUUUUCCCACCGACCCUGAUGUUUAAUUGUUUUAUGUUGCACGUCAGGCUUUGCUGGAGGAAACCACUUCUAGACCCGAACGGGGAAUAGCAGCGGAGGACAAAUCCCAUGUACGCGUCCCUCAAGAGGAACAACGUUCCCUUUUUCUAAUCCCAUUUGGAGAUCGGCGCUUGCUGGAAAUCACGACAGACAACACAUUGAACUUCAGCAUCUCUCUCAGAGCAAACCCUGGGAGCUUUUCCAGGACCGUUUAAAGCUGCAAAGGUCUUCGGUACGUAAUGAAUUAAAGAUGCACUGUAUUGUAAUGAAUGCUACUUUUUCGUUGCAGAAGGGAGGGAAUCUAUACUUCCUGAAAUAAACACUGCUUACAUGGAGGUUCACACAGCCUCAUUGAAUGAAUUU